UACAGAGGUCUCAAGCGUUGUUCGGAUUCAUUGGGCGUAAAGGGUGCGUAGGCGGGUCUUUAAGUCAGGGGUGAAAUCCUGGAGCUCAACUCCAGAACUGCCUUUGAUACUGAGGAUCUUGAGUACGGGAGAGGUGAGUGGAACUGCGAGUGUAGAGGUGAAAUUCGUAGAUAUUCGCAAGAACACAGUGGCGAAGGCGGCUCACUGGCCCGUUACUGACGCUGAGGCACGAAAGCGUGGGGAGCAAACAGG
This 252-nucleotide ribosomal RNA is filed under the name uncultured bacterium. RNAcentral's name for it is "partial 16S ribosomal RNA". It matches the Rfam family "Bacterial small subunit ribosomal RNA", at positions 524 to 776 of the family's 1533-position model. The record is from RNAcentral.